This 497-nucleotide ribosomal RNA is filed under the name uncultured bacterium. Its description in RNAcentral is "partial 16S ribosomal RNA". It matches the Rfam family "Bacterial small subunit ribosomal RNA", at positions 28 to 507 of the family's 1533-position model. The record is from RNAcentral.
GAUGAACGCUGGCGGCGUGCCUAAUACAUGCAAGUCGAGCGAACAGACGAGGAGCUUGCUCCUCUGACGUUAGCGGCGGACGGGUGAGUAACACGUGGAUAACCUACCUAUAAGACUGGGAUCACUUGGGGAAACCGGAGAUAAUCCCGGAUGAUAUCUUGAAGCGCAUGGUUCAAUGGUGAAAGACGGUGUUGCUGGCUCGUAUAGAUGGAUCCGCGCCGGAUUAGGUAGUUGGUAAGGUAACGGCUUACCAAGGCAACGAUGCGUAGCCGACCUGAGAGGGUGAUCGGCCACACUGGAACUGAGACACGGUCCAGACUCCUACGGGAGGCAGCAGUAGGGAAUCUUCCGCAAUGGGCGAAAGCUUGACGGAGCAACGCCGCGUGAGUGAUGAAGGUCUUCGGAUCGUAAAACUCUGUUAUUAGGGAAGAACAAAUGUGUAAGUAACUAUGCACGUCUUGACGGUACCUAAUCAGAAAGCCACGGCUAACUACGUG